CCUACGGGGUGCUGCAGUGGGGAAUAUUGCACAAUGGGCGCAAGCCUGAUGCAGCCAUGCCGCGUGUGUGAAGAAGGCCUUCGGGUUGUAAAGCACUUUCAGCGGGGAGGAAGGCGGUGAGGUUAAUAACCUCAUCGAUUGACGUUACCCGCAGAAGAAGCACCGGCUAACUCCGUGCCAGCAGCCGCGGUAAUACGGAGGGUGCAAGCGUUAAUCGGAAUUACUGGGCGUAAAGCGCACGCAGGCGGUCUGUCAAGUCGGAUGUGAAAUCCCCGGGCUCAACCUGGGAACUGCAUUCGAAACUGGCAGGCUAGAGUCUUGUAGAGGGGGGUAGAAUUCCAGGUGUAGCGGUGAAAUGCGUAGAGAUCUGGAGGAAUACCGGUGGCGAAGGCGGCCCCCUGGACAAAGACUGACGCUCAGGUGCGAAAGCGCGGGGAGCAAACAGGAUUAGAUACCCUGGUAGUC
Molecule: ribosomal RNA, 465 nt
Filed under: uncultured Klebsiella sp.
Lineage: Bacteria; Pseudomonadati; Pseudomonadota; Gammaproteobacteria; Enterobacterales; Enterobacteriaceae
Description: bacterial SSU rRNA
Rfam family: Bacterial small subunit ribosomal RNA
Source: RNAcentral